GAUGAACGCUGGCGGCGUGCCUAAUACAUGCAAGUCGAGCGAACGGACGAGAAGCUUGCUUCUCUGAUGUUAGCGGCGGACGGGUGAGUAACACGCGGAUAACCUACCUAUAAGACUGGGAUAACUUCGGGAAACCGGAGCUAAUACCGGAUAAUAUUAUGAACCGCAUGGUUCAAAAGUGAAAGACGGUCUUGCUGUCACUUAUAGAUGGAUCCGCGCUGCAUUAGCUAGUUGGUAAGGUAACGGCUUACCAAGGCAACGAUGCAUAGCCGACCUGAGAGGGUGAUCGGCCACACUGGAACUGAGACACGGUCCAGACUCCUACGGGAGGCAGCAGUAGGGAAUCUUCCGCAAUGGGCGAAAGCCUGACGGAGCAACGCCGCGUGAGUGAUGAAGGUCUUCGGAUCGUAAAACUCUGUUAUUAGGGAAGAACAUAUGUGUAAGUAACUGUGCACAUCUUGACGGUACCUAAUCAGAAAGCCACGGCUAACUACGUG
RNAcentral lists this ribosomal RNA (497 nucleotides) under uncultured bacterium. RNAcentral describes it as "partial 16S ribosomal RNA". It matches the Rfam family "Bacterial small subunit ribosomal RNA", at positions 28 to 507 of the family's 1533-position model. The record is from RNAcentral.